GAUGAACGCUGGCGGCGUGCCUAAUACAUGCAAGUCGAGCGGACGGACGCGACGCUUGCUUCUCUGAUGUUAGCGGCGGACGGGUGAGUAACACGUGUAUCCCCUACCUAUAAGUCUGGGAUAACUUCGGGACACCGGAGCUAAUCCGGGAUGAUAUUCUGAUCCGCAUGGUUCAAAAGUGAAAGACGGUCUUUCUGUCACUUAUAGAUGCAUCCGGGCUGCAUUAGCUAGUUGUUAAGGUCACGGCUUUCCAAGGCAACGAUGCAUAGCCGACCUAAGAGAGUGAUCGGCCACACGGGAACUGAGACACGGUCCAGACUCCUACGGGAGGCAGCAGUAGGGAAUCGUCCGCAAUGGGCGAAAGCCUGACGGAGCAACGCCGCGUGAGUGAUGAAGGUCUUCGGAUCGUAAAACUCUGUUAUUAGGGAAGAACAUAUGUGUAAGUAACUGUGCACAUCUUGACGGUACCUAAUCAGAAAGCCACGGCUAACUACGUG
This 497-nucleotide ribosomal RNA is filed under the name uncultured bacterium. RNAcentral describes it as "partial 16S ribosomal RNA". It matches the Rfam family "Bacterial small subunit ribosomal RNA", at positions 28 to 507 of the family's 1533-position model. The record is from RNAcentral.